UACACUCCGGCCCAUUUUCAUGCGGGAAGGAAGCAGAAGACCUGGCCAGCAAUAGCUGCUGUCAUGAAUCCCCUCCGCCGCCUCCGCACUCCGGCGAUCGACGGCGCCGGGGAGCCCUCCCGCGGCCUUUGCCUCGACGCCUAAACGAUACUUUCUCUCCAAAAGGUAACACAGAACUCACUCCCACGGCGACAUUGCUAUCCAGCGAUGCUGCAUUUGCUGUAACGGUGCUAGUUUUUACACCGGCCAUGCCCAACACCCGCUCGACGAUAUGCUUCAAGUCCGUACAAUAGUGUGGGAGACCGACACCCUAGGAUACCAAUGAUGGUGUCUGGUAACUGGGUAUGUCUGUCAUUUCUUGUGUAUUACAAUUGUGCUCUACCCUGCUUAGCGAGGAGCAGCUGCUAUGCCUGUCCAACAUAGGACCUGUGAUUGUGAAAGGAUACCCCAAGUGUUCUGUGCACUGAUACCUCCCCCCACCCCCAAGGCACCAACCCACCACAACUCUAAAGAGGAUAACCAAGACCUACCUUCCCCUGUUUCUUAAUUCUUUUUCUCAAAUUCAGUAACUGGCUUGGGUGACUUUUCUAUAAACAAAAAACAAACUACCUUGGGUGAUCCAUGUGGCUUGUGCUGAUAAAGGGUAUAAACAUCCUGUGAAAAGACGAGGCAUAAAUACAUAAUUGUUGCUGUAGGUGACACCCUGAAUGAGAAUUGAUGUUAACGUGUAAGCACGAAUUUCACUGAUCCUAUUAAGCAUUAUAACUAGCAUACAGGAUGUUAUAGCUUUCAUGUGAAGCCUUUGUCCGGAAAAACCUGAGUCCACCUUCAGUACCCCUUUCUUCCGGUGGAGGGGAGAUAAUGUUCUUGUUUUUUCAGUCUAUAUAACCAUACUUUGUCACAACCAUUGUUUCUUCAAAAAAAAAGGAAAAUAAAUGGCUAAAGAUACUUCUUCCAGAGUCCAACAGAUGUUUAGUUUAGGGGGUUUUGCAAGCAUCAAAAUUGCAAUUAUACACUGAAGAACCAUCUGAUUUACACAUAGCAGACCAAAAUGCAGUACCUUUAUUGUCUUUUUUCCUUCCAUGUCGUACUUAGCUUGCAAUAAGUGAUGCUUUUCUAAUUAAAAACACAAACUUCAACUUAAUUCGAACUUCAGCAUUGUAGAAACUAGGAUUGCUAAAUUACAAUAGUGCAGCCUGACACUUAGGUAUUUUAUGUCUAUAUCAUCACACAGCUUGCUUCAGUAUGCCCAUGCUAGAAAACUUGAUCGACAUCUGUAAGAUAUUGUUACCAAAACUGUUCGAACUUGUACAAUAACUACCAAAUGCAUCAACUUUUCAUGCUUCGUUGAGAUAGGAAAAGGCUACAGACUGAAGGUCGUCCAUGUCAUGGUACCCACUCCCUUGCAUGUUGCAAGAAGGAUUGCUGUUGUAGUCGGGCAUGCAUAAAUCUGGCUCAUAACCUUCAGAAUAUUGAGUUGACACAGAAGUGAAGCAGUCAUUUGUAGAGAAUAGCUGACUUUCACUCUUUACUGAAGAAUUGCUUGCCAUUGUUGGGUGGAAAAAGAGCUGCCCAUCUUGCAUAGAAGGUGUUAAUAUUUCGCGCUUCUCUUUUUGAGGGUUUGAUGUUAAGGAUCCAUCUCCGUACCCUUGUGUUGUCUGAGCUUUGAAUGACUCUAGUUCUGCUUGCAGACUGACCACCUAUGAAAAUUUACAAGUAAUGCACUCUGUCAGUCUUGAUUUCCAUGCAGUGUGAGUUAUUUUUAUAUAGAGAGAUUUUUAAACAACUAAGAAGACUAUGCAUUAUCAAAGUAGUGAACAAGAAUUCUCACAAGAUAGCAAGCUAUGACUAUGAUAGUAUCACACUUAAUGGUUAGCUGCAUUUUGUGUAUUUACAAUUGUUCUUCUUAUGAUACAUCCAAACAACCAUUUUUAAUGCUAGCUAGUUAAGUUUGUUUUAUGCGUUAUUUCACUGCGAGGCCUAAGAGUUUUCAGCAUUUUCCAAAUUAUAGUGGCAUUUUUAUGAGGCUGCAACUAGAGUGGCAUUUCCCCUUUCUCAGUGAUUGUGAACUGAACACCUCAUUUACGCAGAACUUUGUUUUUUUAAAUGAGUGCUAAUGUAGAAUCUUCUUACCUGUUGUUGCAGAGAAAAGAUGUGAGCAACACAGCCAUAUAUUGGAUCUUGAAGCCUGGCCUGCGCCUCAUAUGACAUAGUAACUGCAGCCUCGCAACGGUCACUUAUCGGGAGAUGCAUUAGGAGCUUUGAGGCAUUGCUAGCCCCAAA
RNAcentral lists this long non-coding RNA (2283 nucleotides) under Setaria italica (foxtail millet). Its description in RNAcentral is "long non-coding RNA (SITA_LNC004873)". Lineage: Eukaryota; Viridiplantae; Streptophyta; Magnoliopsida; Poales; Poaceae. The record is from RNAcentral.